UCUCUCGGCCCCAAGGCUCUCGGAUAACAGAGGCGACGGAGGGAGGAACGGGCAGCGCGAGGCAGCGGCAGAAGAAGGCAAAUCAAGUUCACCGAACCGAGGAUAAAUUGCACAAGGGCAAGUGAGGCCAAAGCGAGUAAUUGAGUUGAGGGAUAAGCAUACCAGGUUGAACGUCAAGAGGAAGGAAUAUUGAUCGGAGUCGAUGCUAUUAAAUAAUCAAGUGGAUUUCUCUACGAUUCGUGUCUUCAUACACGAAGUCGUUUAGUGAGGACCUAUUCCGCUGUACUUUUGUCAAGUUAGGAUUUCAAAGUCUCACCUCCGAACUCUGAUUUAGUUGAUAUGAUGAAUUAUUCUAUUUUGAGAUCUUGUAAUCAAAUACUUGGCUUCUAAUUUGUGGAAUCAAUUGAUUGGCCUUUCGGCAAGUCCCUUGAGUUCUUUCUCCGUUUCGUUAAUUCCGCUUAUUAGUCACGGAUUUCCCGCUUUUGCUAUCAUUAGCAAAGUGCGGUCGUGACAGAGUGGUAUCAGAGCCUCAGUUUCUUUCCUGCUCUGAGAUCCGCACAUUUCUUCAGUAAAGAUCUAGACUUGUUCACUAGAUAUUUCCAAGUAAUCGACUCGAUCAAUACUCCAAGACGUUCAACCAAACAAGUUGAAAGAUGAAGAAGCGGGAAAUUUUGAGAUAACUAAAACAAAGUGCGCCGAGAAUAUUUUACCUAGUCAAGAUAAUAGAAAGAACUGAGAGGGAAUAAGUACUCUCCCUAAAAAAUGUAGUUCAAACUGGGACUAUGAAGGAUGAACCAUAAAUCCUACUAUUGCUUUCCCGAGCAACAAUUUUGAGACGAUGCUAGAUAAGAGUUAAUCACGAACGCAUGAUCUAAGGCGACACGACUUUUGCACAAGAAGAGCUAAUGCCCAAAUGCGUAGGAGCACGAGAGGGGCAACUGUUGAAGAGAAAGACGAGGAACGGUGCUAUAAGGGAAUAGCGCAAGAUAGAUCCUCACUGUGGCCAAGCCACUCAUGUAAGAUCCGAAAGCAAGUGUUGAUCCCAUCACGUUUCAUGAGACCUUAUAGAAACGCUCGAUCUGAGAUAUGAACUUAGUCUAAUGACGUUAGAUCACACAAUAUGUGGCUCUAGUUGAUGACUUUCCCUACAUGGAUUUUCGUGCAUCGAUUCGUUUUCUUUCGAAUACCUUCGACGGACUCAAGAUAUCCCCACCACAUGGAUGAAAUAGACAAAUUUAAUCAGCAGUACUUACUUGGAUUUCCAGAAAAUCUCUUUCUUUGAACAUCCUUAACGAAAAUGCCUUCAUGUCUGUUUAACACUAUUGAUCGACCUGCGUUUUGCAAAGCAGGUUGUCAAUACUUUCCUUCUUCUAUGAAAGUUGUGACCCAUUUCCAGAUCAUGGUUAAAAAUUUAAAUUUCAGACACUUUGAGCAAUUGGCAAUACAAAUCAAUGUACCACUUCUUAUCUUGGGUACAUCAGAUCGCUAUUCACUUCCAGUUUCUAUGAGCACGAGCUUUGCUAUAAUAUUUUUUUUUCAGACAUGCCGAUUAGCGACAACUUUGGUUACUCAUCAUUAGUACGAGUGAAAUAUUUACUUCGCAAGCCCAAUCGCAUCAUUACUCUAAAGUUGUUUGUCUUCAGAACCUCAGACCAAGCUCAUUUUUUUUCUAAACCUCGUCUUUAAUGAAUGACGUAUUCUUCUUGGAACUCCUGUCAACUCUUGUUAUUUUGGAAACAUGUAUAUGACAAGUUCUUUCUUGCAAGACUUGAGAUUUUCUCAUGUUCAAUUCC
Long non-coding RNA from Salvia splendens (bonfire salvia), 1793 nucleotides. RefSeq lists it as uncharacterized. The transcript has 3 exons. NCBI's taxonomy places the organism in Eukaryota, Viridiplantae, Streptophyta, Magnoliopsida, Lamiales, Lamiaceae. The record is from RefSeq and is a predicted model, not a curated record.